Molecule: long non-coding RNA, 575 nt
Filed under: Numida meleagris (helmeted guineafowl)
Lineage: Eukaryota; Metazoa; Chordata; Aves; Galliformes; Numididae
Description: lncRNA (ENSNMEG00000002097.1)
Source: RNAcentral
CUAUGGGGCUGAGGGGGACUGGGGUCUCAUCUAUGGGGUGGAGGGGGGAGUCCUGUUAUGAAUCUAUGGGGCUGAGGGGGACUAGGGUCAGAUCUAUGGGGCUGAGGGGGUCUGGGGUCAGAUCUAUGGGGCUGGGAGGGGUCCUGAUGUCAGUCUAUGGGGCUGGGGGGGACUAGAGUCACAUCUGUGGGGCAGAGGGGGUCUGGGGUCAGAUCUAUGGGGCUGAGGGGGGUGUCCUGUUGUGAAUCUAUGGGGCUGAGGGGGACUAGGGUCACAUCUAUGGGGCAGAGGGGUCUGGGGUCAGAUCUAUGGGGCUGGGAGGGGUCUUGAUGUCAGUCUAUGGGGCUGGGGGGGACUAAAGUCACAUCUAUGGGGCAGAGGGGGUCUGGGGUCAGAUCUAUGGGGCUGGGAGGGCUGUUGUUGUCAAUCUGUGGGGCUGAGGGGGUCAGAUCUAUGGGGCUGGGAGCGGUCUUGGUGUCAAUCUAUGGGGCUGAGGGGGACUAGGGUCACAUCUAUGGGGCUGAGGGGUCUGGGGUCACAUCUGUGGGGCAGAGGGGGUCUGGGGUCAGAUCUAU